UACGAAGGGAGCUAGCGUUGUUCGGAAUUACUGGGCGUAAAGGGCGCGUAGGCGGUCCUAAUAAGUUAGAUGUGAAAGACCUGGGCUUAACCUGGGAAGUGCAUUUAAGACUGUGGGACUAGAGGAUGAGAGAGGAAAGUGGAAUGACAAGUGUAGAGGUGAAAUUCGUAGAUAUUUGUUGGAACACCAGUGGCGAAGGCGACUUUCUGGAUCAUAACUGACGCUAAGGCGCGAAAGCGUGGGGAGCAAACAGG
This 254-nucleotide ribosomal RNA is filed under the name uncultured bacterium. RNAcentral's name for it is "partial 16S ribosomal RNA". It matches the Rfam family "Bacterial small subunit ribosomal RNA", at positions 524 to 776 of the family's 1533-position model. The record is from RNAcentral.